UCGCGGGGCUGCGAUCGAGGCGGGGAGGGUAUGAAUCGGCAUUGAUUCACUUGUGCAUAAGUAUCGGUAGCGUGUAUUUGACAUUAUAUUAACUAAUUGAUUUACAAUUGCUAAUGCAGGUACUUCAACCGCUCCGAGUCAGAGCUCAUGCCCCCCCAGUGUUCGACGAUAGGUACAUCCCGUACCUAAGGGCUGCCGGGUUGCUCGGGGUGGCCUUGGUCGUGAGCAGAGGAAUGCCAGUGUUCAACGCUCCUACGUUGACAGCACUUGUGGACAGAUGGAGGCCUGAGACACACAGCUUCCACCUCCCCAGUGGUGAGAUGACCAUCACUCUACAGGAUGUGGCUAUGAUCUUGGCCCUCCCAUUACGGGGGCAUGCCGUGACGGGCAGGACAGAGACUCCUGGAUGGCAUGCACAAGUGCAGCAGCUGUUUGGCAUUCCACUGAACAUUGAGCAGGGGCAAGGGGGGAAGAAGAAGUAGAAUGGAAUACCCCUGUCUUGGCUGAGUCAGAACUUCUCACAUCUUGACGACGAUGCUGAGCCAUGGCGUGUUGAGUGUUAUGCCCGUGCAUACAUCUUGCACUUGUUGGGAGGGGUUCUGUUUCCUGAUGCUGGGGGUGACAUUGCUUCGGCGAUAUGGAUUCCUUUGGUCGCCAACCUUGGUGAUCUGGGCCGUUUCAGUUGGGGGUCAGCAGUGUUAGCGUGGACAUAUAGACAGCUCUAUGAGGCCUGUUGUCGUCAGGCACCAUCAUCCAACAUGAGUGGUUGUGUGCUAUUGAUUCAGAUGUGGAUGUGGUUAAGACUACCGGUUGGAAGGCCUAAGUGGAGGCAUAGCUUCACUCCUUGGCCCUACAAUGAGCCAGACAUGGAGAAGACAGUGGCCUACCUUUUUGAGAGUACUGCCACUGCACAUGCUCGGGAUGUGGCAUACAAGCAUUAUGUCAAUGAGAUGGACUGCUUGCAGCCUCAACAUAUUGAGUGGUUACCAUACCACACAAAUGAGGCUUCAAGCCUGACCCUGAACUCGAUGUGCAAUCGAGACUCUGACUAUUUCAUGUACCAGUGCCCAUUGAUUUGUUUCUGGGCAGUUGAGUACCACCUUCCGCACCGUGUCAUGUGACAGUUCGGGAAGAAACAAGAUUGGCCGGUUGAGGACAUCUCAACUGGAGUUGAAUUACACAAGUAUGACAGGGUGAGAACAAAGAAGGUGAAAGACUGGAGGCUAGAGCAUAAUAGAUACAUUGAUGAAUGGAGAACAGCCGGAAGGACCGAUAGGUACAUCGAGACUAUACACCAAAAUCAUCUUUUCUCAGAGUACCUUCGUUGGCUGCAUAGGACAUAUAAACUGUUCCUCCGCCCUACUUGGACGGAAGCCGACAUAGAGGAUGACCGCGACUCCGAUGAGGGGCGGAAUCCCUAUGAUGUCCGGACUAGAGUUGGAUAUCAAAUGGAGCACGCCCCACUUAGAGACAGAGUCUCGAGAGAGCUCCUCAGGAGUGUGAAUGAAAUGGGGCAUG
This is a non-coding RNA of Oryza sativa Japonica Group (Japanese rice), 1518 nucleotides long. The record is from RefSeq and is a predicted model, not a curated record. Lineage: Eukaryota; Viridiplantae; Streptophyta; Magnoliopsida; Poales; Poaceae.